GAACGGGUGAGUAACACGUGGGUGAUCUGCCCUGCACUUUGGGAUAAGCCUGGGAAACUGGGUCUAAUACCGAAUAUGAUCAUUGGCUUCAUGGCUGGUGGUGGAAAGCUUUUGCGGUGUGGGAUGGGCCCGCGGCCUAUCAGCUUGUUGGUGGGGUAAUGGCCUACCAAGGCGACGACGGGUAGCCGGCCUGAGAGGGUGACCGGCCACACUGGGACUGAGAUACGGCCCAGACUCCUACGGGAGGCAGCAGUGGGGAAUAUUGCACAAUGGGCGCAAGCCUGAUGCAGCGACGCCGCGUGAGGGAUGACGGCCUUCGGGUUGUAAACCUCUUUCAAUAGGGACGAAGCGCAAGUGACGGUACCUAUAGAAGAAGGACCGGCCAACUACGUGCCAGCAGCCGCGGUAAUACGUAGGGUCCGAGCGUUGUCCGGAAUUACUGGGCGUAAAGAGCUCGUAGGUGGUUUGUCGCGUUGUUCGUGAAAACUCACAGCUUAACUGUGGGCGUGCGGGCGAUACGGGCAGACUAGAGUACUGCAGGGGAGACUGGAAUUCCUGGUGUAGCGGUGGAAUGCGCAGAUAUCAGGAGGAACACCGGUGGCGAAGGCGGGUCUCUGGGCAGUAACUGACGCUGAGGAGCG
RNAcentral lists this ribosomal RNA (641 nucleotides) under Mycobacterium sp. I15A-00857. RNAcentral's name for it is "bacterial SSU rRNA". It matches the Rfam family "Bacterial small subunit ribosomal RNA", at positions 100 to 755 of the family's 1533-position model. The record is from RNAcentral. Lineage: Bacteria; Bacillati; Actinomycetota; Actinomycetes; Mycobacteriales; Mycobacteriaceae.